CCUGCCUUGUCUAUUCCAAGAUCCAUCCAUCCAUCCGUCUAAACAUGGAAGCGAAGGCAUUUGGUGGAAUAAUGAUAAUGACACUCUUAUUCCUUCUUCACUCUUUCACCAUUCUCCACUCAGCUGCAGCCCUGGUGGAAGUCAAUGAUUACGACAGCCCUGGACCAAAUCGAGGCCAUGAUCCCCCAACCUCAACUCCAGUUCCAGUUCCAACUCCUGCUCCAACUCCAACUCCAACUCCGACUCCAUCAAAAUCAGGUGACAAUGCUAAGCCAGGAGGACCCAAUACCCGCCAUGGUCACAGCCCUCCAACUGCUUGAGGCCUAUAU
Molecule: long non-coding RNA, 329 nt
Filed under: Panax ginseng (ginseng)
Lineage: Eukaryota; Viridiplantae; Streptophyta; Magnoliopsida; Apiales; Araliaceae
Description: long non-coding RNA (PGIN_LNC006215)
Source: RNAcentral